AUCGCCGACGCCUCCACCUCCUGCCUCGCCGGACGCCUGCUGCCGGCUGCCCUGCUCUGCUGCAAUCGAUAGUCGUCCUCCACCUCCAGUCUCGCCUGACGCUGUUGCCGGCUGCCCUGCUCCGCCGCUAAUCCUCAUCGCCGGACGCCUGCUGCAGUCGAACUCUAAGGAUUGGUGGUGUAUAUCCCCUGACUCAUGCCUCACCAAGUUGGUCUUCUUGGCAAACUCCUGUCUUCACUGUUUAGAGAAUGCCGACGAUCAAUGACCACCAGCAAGAGAGUGCAAGACCGGAGCAAGAAGAAGCGAGUGCAUGACCUUGAAAUUGUUGUAGAGAAGCACAAAAUCCUCUCCAAAAUCCUCUUCAUACUUGAAACUCUGAAGCAAGAGUCCGAGCAAAUCAUCCCUGUACGUUCCCUUGAUCAGUACCGGAGGCAAAUUAACCUCCCAAAACCUCACAAGUUCUCAGUUUUCCUUCGGAAAUGUCCCAAGCUUUUUGAGCUUUAUAAGGACCAGAGGGGAAUUUUAUGGUGCGGAAUGACUAAAGAAGCUGAAAAUCUGCUGCAUGAAGAGGAAGAACUCAUAGAAAAGAAUAGUGAUAAGGCUGCAGAGUUUGUGACUCGGAUGCUAAUGAUGUCAAUUGGUAAGCGUAUUAGUCUGGAUAAGAUUGUGCAUUUCAGGAGGGAUAUAGGGUUGCCACUGGAUUUUAGGAGCCAUUGGGUGCACAAAUAUCCCGAAUAUUUUCGAGUUGUGAGGCCUUUUGUGCCUUAUGAUGAGGGUGAGUAUUUGGAACUUGUGAAUUGGAAGUCUAGUUGGGCAAUUACUGAGUUGGAAAAGAAGGUGCUGGGUGUUAGCAAGGCCCCCGAAGAUUAUGUUCCAGGUUUUCUUUCUCUGUCUUUCCCAAUGAAGUUCCCACCUAACUAUAAGAAGCUGUCCAAGUACAGAGGUCAGAUUGAGAACUUCCAGAACAGGGAGUAUUUGUCCCCUUAUGCAGAUGCUAGUGGAUUAAAGGCUGGGUCACAGGAGUUUGAUAAGAGGGCAGUGGCUGUGAUGCAUGAAUUGCUUAGUUUUAUGAUUGAGAAGAGGCUUGUGACAGAUCAUUUGACACAUUUUAGGAGGGAGUUUGUGAUGCCUCAGAAGCUUAUGAGACUAUUGCUCAAGCAUUUUGGCAUCUUUUAUGUUUCAGAGAGAGGGAGGAGAUUUAAUGUGUUCCUGAACGAGCCUUAUGAAGGUUCAGAGUUGGUUGAGAAACAUCCUCUGGUUGUUUGGAAAGAAAAGGUUCUUAGCCUUGUUGGCUACAGAAAGAAGAAAGAUAAAGAAGAGACCUUGGAGGAUUUACAAGAAAGUGACACGGACUUAUUUGAGAUUGAUUCGGAAGAUUAUAGUGUUCAAUUAGCACAUGAGAAUGAGGAGGAGGAGAUGAGUGGUUUGGAGAGUGAUUCAAUUGAAAGUGACUCUGAAAUGGAGAUUGAAGAGAUUUACAAUGCAUAUAAAGUAUCCGAAUGAAGCCGUUCUAGCUCAACUGGCCUAGGUAUAGGCAUUUUUGCAGGGAUUCUUUAUUGCGGUCUGCUAUAUCUACAGUUGGCAAUCUACCUGCAGUCUUCUAAUGCUUUAAAAUUCUUAGGCCAGUAAUUGGUAAUGAAUUCUACUAUCAACUUGUUCAUGGCACUUAUGGUUUUCUGGGGUUGGAUGCUUCUGCAGGUGAUGGAUCAUGAAAGUUACCAGAAAUUCAACACAUUAUGCAGUCAACUGGAUUAUGAUUUCGGAACUAUAAGUUAUCAUCCAUCGCUCAGAAAGUGCAUGUAGAUGUCAACAGCCUCAGUAACACAUCAAGGUUUAGGUAAUCGAGUGAUCAUUUGUUCCUUCGUUCUUGUUUGCACUAACAUAUUAUGAUACCCAGUGAAAAUUUUGACGUUUUGGACAAUGAAAUGCUGGUAGUUAUGUAGCUAAAAGAUUACCAGCUCAGACUUGUGAAAUGGGCAUACGAAUGACUGAAUGAGUGUAGUGUUUUUUUUUUUGUUUCAAUAUUUCUGUGUAUUUUUUAGAGUUGAAAGGAUACUGCCCAGAAAAAUGUAUUAACCAAUAGUUUUUAUGUUCAUGUAAUUUAUUAGUAGUAUUUACAAGGUUGAUUUUAUUUUCAAACUUGAAAGAAAUGGCUUUAGGCAUUAAGAGAAUUAUUUAUUUUGUACAAUAAAUAAACUUUUGUUUAUUUUAA
Molecule: RNA transcript, 2212 nt
Organism: Ipomoea nil (Japanese morning glory)
Lineage: Eukaryota; Viridiplantae; Streptophyta; Magnoliopsida; Solanales; Convolvulaceae
Gene name: protein ROOT PRIMORDIUM DEFECTIVE 1-like
Exons: 5
Source: RefSeq, a predicted model, not a curated record